CAAUAACUCCUCCCAAUUUAUAGCUCCACUCACACAUACCCUUAGACCAAUCAGUGAACAGGAUAUUCAUGAUCACCUCAUAUGGGCAGACUGCAUGACUCCUUUUAAGGACAAAGGAAUGUGAGUAGAGUUGAUGCACAUGAUCAGUACAUGAAUGACAGUAUCUUAGCUACAUGUGACUAACAGAUACAACAAACACCUGUACUUGUAGAUGCCACAUGGAG
Non-coding RNA from Pelobates cultripes (western spadefoot toad), 224 nucleotides. The record is from the annotation of a GenBank genome assembly. Lineage: Eukaryota; Metazoa; Chordata; Amphibia; Anura; Pelobatidae.